UUAGCCCGAAUUAUUGAAACCAAUCGAUUGAUCAAAAAUAACUGUAAGGAUUGGCUUAGGAAUCUUAGAAUAUUUCUGAGCUUGAAAAAAUUAAGUUAUGUACUCGAUCAGAAACCUCUAGUUUUAUCAAACUGUCCAACUAUUUGAACAAAGGAUAAUAUUUGAAAAAUAGAUGAAUAAUGACAAUAAGGUCAAGUGCUAUAUCUUGACGUCAAUGUCUAAUAAACUCCAAUGCCAGCAUGAGGACA
RNAcentral lists this long non-coding RNA (248 nucleotides) under Elaeis guineensis (African oil palm). Its description in RNAcentral is "long non-coding RNA (EGUI_LNC044740)". Lineage: Eukaryota; Viridiplantae; Streptophyta; Magnoliopsida; Arecales; Arecaceae. The record is from RNAcentral.